AGUGAACGCUGGCGGUAGGCCUAACACAUGCAAGUCGAACGGCAGCACAGUAAGAGCUUGCUCUUACGGGUGGCGAGUGGCGGACGGGUGAGGAAUACAUCGGAAUCUACUUUUUCGUGGGGGAUAACGUAGGGAAACUUACGCUUAUACCGCAUACGACCUACGGGUGAAAGCAGGGGAUCUUCGGACCUUGCGCGAUUGAAUGAGCCGAUGUCGGAUUAGCUAGUUGGCGGGGUAAAGGCCCACCAAGGCGACGAUCCGUAGCUGGUCUGAGAGGAUGAUCAGCCACACUGGAACUGAGACACGGUCCAGACUCCUACGGGAGGCAGCAGUGGGGAAUAUUGGACAAUGGGCGCAAGCCUGAUCCAGCCAUACCGCGUGGGUGAAGAAGGCCUUCGGGUUGUAAAGCACUUUUGUUGGGAAAGAAAAGCAGCAGGUUAAUACCCCGCUGUUCUGACGGUACCCAAAGAAUAAGCACCGGCUAACUUCGUG
This 492-nucleotide ribosomal RNA is filed under the name uncultured bacterium. Its description in RNAcentral is "partial 16S ribosomal RNA". It matches the Rfam family "Bacterial small subunit ribosomal RNA", at positions 29 to 507 of the family's 1533-position model. The record is from RNAcentral.